RNAcentral lists this ribosomal RNA (67 nucleotides) under Lachnospiraceae bacterium. RNAcentral describes it as "partial 23S ribosomal RNA". The record is from RNAcentral. Lineage: Bacteria; Bacillati; Bacillota; Clostridia; Lachnospirales; Lachnospiraceae.
AGGUCAAGCUACUAAGAGCGUAGAGUGGAUGCCUUGGCACCGAGAGCCGAUGAAGGACGUGAUAAGC